UAUACAGCAACUGUAAAAGUAUAAAUAAUAACAAAUUACAAAAGAAAGACAAAUAAUAGUUAUAAAAUUUGUUCGUCCUGUGUGUGUGUGUGUGUGGAUUUCCCUGUUAUUACCUUACCUGUAAUUAAGGCCAUCAGGUGGUGUCAACAGUGUGCUGGGUGUCCUCUUAGUUGGACAGAAGAAAAAAAAAUCGCAAUAUAUAUAUUUAAAAAAAAACAACAACGAACGGGAUAAAUCUGUUGAAACCGCUUUUUGAAAACUGAUCAAAAUGUCGCUGAUAGAUGAUUCCCAGCAUGCGGUGGAGAGUCUUCGAAGUAUUGAAUCUAAACUUCAUUCCCAAGGUAUCACCAAUAUGAACGAUGACCUGACAUCAAUGAUUUGCAUGCUUGGAAGCCCUGUAUUUCAACAGAUUAUCAAUCUAUUAGAUUCCGUUGAUGAAUUAACACAAGUAUUAGAGACUCAACCAAUCCCUGAUGAUUGCUACAGCUUCACCAAAACUGGUGAUUUGGUUCUAAAUCUUAAUGACAAAGCUAUAAGCAGUCUCAAAUGCAAUACUACACUGGAACUACCAGAUAGUUCACACCCAACUGGAACUAUCAUCACCGAAGAAUACAAACAGGAAUUUCAGAAAGCCAUUGAAUCAGCAGCCAAAGGAAGAUCCCUUGUUCAUAUUAAAUUAUACAAACCAGAGAAUACUGGAUUAGGAUUUGGAGUAGUUGGUAUGAAAGAUCCUGGCAAAGAUGAUUCAGUAAUUUAUAUCAAUGACAUACAACCUGGAAGUGUUGCAGCAAGAGAUGGAAGGCUACAAAAAGGAGAUCAGAUUUUGGCCAUUGAUGGUCAGCCAUUAGACUUCUCACACAAAGCUGCCAUACAGCUUUUGAAGAGCGCACGUGGCCCGGUUGAACUGGUGGUUGCACGGAGCCCUCCAUUAGAGAGCAGUGCUGCUUCGAACAACACAGUCAGCACUGCCCAGGCUGCUCCUGCAUCACCAGUCGACAAAAGACAAACACCACCACAACGUGAUUCACCAGACGUUUUGGAUCAGACUCUCACACAAAGCAGACAGGAAACUUUGAAAUUAUCUAAUGAGAACAACACUACAGUUCUUCCUUCACAACAUCGCAAAAGUUCUAACGAGAUGUUAAACACAGAUUGGACUCAAAUUGAGGUCAUAGAUUUGGUUAACGAUGGCACUGGAUUGGGGUUCGGAAUCUUUGGGGGCAAGAGCACUGGUGUUGUGGUUAAAACCAUUUUACCAGGUGGUGUCGCAGACAACGACACCCGGUUACGCAGUGGGGACCACAUAUUACAAAUAGGAGAUUUCAAUGUGCGCGGUAUGAGUUCAGAGCAGGUGGCAUCUGUACUUCGCCAGUCUGGCAGUAAUGUCCGGCUGAUAGUUGCACGGGCCAUCAAUGAACCAACACUGCAGAUCAACCCCUCUGCUCCCAUCAUUGCUACUGUGCAGCUAGAUGAGCGUUUGCAACAAAUAAAUUCAGCCCUCUCUUCGGCUGAAGAUCUUGACAUGACAAAAAUAAUGAAGAACCAACACCAGAUUCAGGAGAGGUUGAUUGCUGAAUCCCAAAUGGAGAUGACCCAGGAAUCCGACUCUGAUCUUCAAGGGUUUCUUGAAACUGUUCAAGUACAUGAGGCUCGUGGGGAUGCAAAGUUCCUGCUCCCAGCCUCCUUCCCCCUUUCUCAGCCACCAACCAUUGAAAAUGUAAACGAAAGUCCAGAGAUGGAAAUGUUUGACGUGCAACUUGUGAAGGACACCCGCGGUCUGGGUAUUACUAUUGUCGGAUACGUUGCAGGUGGAGGUGCUCCAGAUGAACUGUCAGGAAUAUAUGUUCAAAGUAUAGCUGAAGGCAGUGCUGCCCACCUUGAUGGAAGAACCCAAGUCAAUGAUCAAAUUAUUGAGGUUGAUGGGAAAUCUCUGAACGGCUUUUCGAACAGUGAUGCCGUGAAACUUUUACAGCAGACAGAUCGCACUGUUAACUUAAAACUCAUUCGUUAUAAGCAUGGAACCAAGUAUGAACUACUGCAGCAAUAUCUUGCUCAAGUAAAAAAUAAAGUCAAUCUUGCUUCUUCUGCACCAGCUCCACAUUCUCCUUCAAAUAUGGCUGUGAACCUUGUGUCUGAUGGUGCUGAAAAACAGCUAGACAUUAACCAGAUAGAUCUUUAUGCCGCUGAUCCUGACUAUAGUGGUGAUUUGUUGCCUGGAGUGGAGGCGGCAAUUAAAGCAACCUGGGAACCAAUUGUUGGCAAUGAUUUUGAAGUUGUGGUUGCUCAGCUAUCUAAAUUUCGUGAAGGAGGAGGUCUUGGUAUCAGCUUAGAAGGUACCGUAGACGUGGAGAAUGGUGUAGAGAUGCGACCGCAUCAUUUUAUCCGAUCAAUACUUCCAGCUGGUCCUGUCGGUUGUAAUGGUCAACUCAUCAGUGGGGAUGAGCUCCUUGAGGUUAAUGGUAAACGCCUCCUGGGAUUGAAUCAUAAAGAGGUUGUGAGUAUAUUAAAAGAGCUGCCGCAACAUGUUCGGUUGGUCUGCGCUCGUCCAAAGAAAAGUAAAUUAGAAAACUUUGCCAGCAAAGAACAAGAUGUCUUUCAAAGCCCUUCACUACUCAAUUCUGGAGUGAUUCCCAACUCACCAUGUACAGACCGGCUCGUAAAAGCUAAAUCAGAAGUUACAUUAACAUCACAAGAAUGGACUGCUGAGAAGAACCUCCUAAAUCGGUCACGAUCCCUUGAGCCCUUAACGGGGCUUGCUAUGUGGAGUAGUGAACCUGUUGUUAUAGAAUUGAAGAAGCUUGACAAAGGCCUUGGAUUUAGCAUUCUUGAUUAUCAGGACCCCGUAAACCCUGCUGAGACAGUAAUUGUGAUCAAAAGUCUUGUCCCUGGUGGUGUGGCACAACUGGACGGGCGGUUGUUACCAGGUGACAGGUUAGUUUUUGUUAAUGACGUCAAUUUGGAACAUGCUACUUUGGAUGAUGCUGUCCAGGCACUGAAAGGGGCUCCAAGAGGAACUGUUGUCAUCGGUGUAGCAAAGCCAUUGCCGUUGUCGGCCAAUAUACCCCCAGCAGAUCAGGAUAUCCUGUAUUUAAAUGCACCACUUGUUCCACUGAGUUCUGCACAUGCUAUUUCCAACUCUGCAGUCCCUUCAUUAUCAUCAUCCUUAUCAUCACCAUUAGCAUCACCACGUGCAUCACCUACACUACCACCACCAUCACUAUAUACUGCUGCUGCUAGUACUGCUGCUGCUACUACUACUACUACUUCUACUACUACCAUUACUGAGGCUACUGUUGAUGUUGAUGUUGAUAUUGAUGCUGAUGUUGAUGUUGAUGCUUCUGUUACUUCUGAGCAGCCAGUUCUGCUAGCUGCUGCUGCUGCUGCUCCUACUUUUGAACCAACUGCUAGCUUAGAAGAGAAUUAUCAGGUGGUCAACACUUUGGAAUUUAGAGAAGAAAGUAAUGUAAUUGCAGAGUUUCCAGACAAAACUAAAUCAGUCUCAUUACAAGAGCCUCUGUACUCAUAUCCAGAACUGAGUCCUGAUCUGCUAACUCAACCUUUGAAACCAGCUCUCCCUCCAAAGCCUACUGAUAUUAAGUUGGGAACUGCCAAAACACAGAACUUGAUCCGCGAGGACAGCUUCUAUGAGGACGAAGACUUAAUAACAGCUACGGUGGUAAAAUCAAACUUGAAAUCACCACUCAUUGAAUCUGAGGUGGAAUCACAUGAAACUGAUUUAAGCUUAUCGUCUAAACACUCUGAAGAUGAGUCUCCCGAUGGCAUUUCUGAGGCUCAAGAGGCUUCUUUAGCAUUAAAUCUCAUUGAUAAUGAGGAGAAAGCUUCCAUAGAAACAGACAGCUUUCCUUUGUCCCAAUUCGGUGGUGUUGUUUCUGAGUCUAUUCACAGCAUUGAUGUUGCACAGGAAUUAUGCAAAACAAAGAGUGAGAUUCCACCAGCCUUACCAUCGACUCCUCCACCCUUGACACCCCCUCCUUCCCCUCCCUUGAGUACUCUUGAGAACACUGAAGACCAGAUCACACUCGAAGAUAUGAAGGUAAAUCUAAAAGCUCAUAUUGGCCACAAAAAGUCUGAAAGUGUGGAUAGUUCAUCAUCCGAUCAUUUCACCACAAGUGACCUUAAAGCAUUUUCAUCACCAUCAUCCACACCACGCACAAUGUCUCCAAGAAUGUCACCGCUUCCAUCACCAAUUUCUUUACGAUCAUUAAGUGGCUCUGUCGACUCCUUACCUGCUUCACUGGAGAAAAACAUCAAAGUUCAGAAAGGACAGCAGCAUUUAGGUAUUACUGUAGAUGCUGUAGAUAAAGGACUAAAUGGUUGUGUGGUGAAAUCAAUAUCACCAGAUGGCGCUGUCAGUAAAGACGGACGUAUUGCCGUUGGUGACUAUAUUGUGUCCAUCAACAAUGAAAACAUGCGGAGGGUCACCAAUGCUCAGUCACGAGCAAUUCUUCGGCGUGCGUCACUACUUGGGAUGGAUAUAAGUAUAAACUACAUCAAUGCUUCUGAUGCAAGUAACUACAAAAUGACUGCUGAAAGUCGGUCAAAACAGGAACCCAGCCCCACACAUCAUUCUGCAAUGCCUUCACCUAAGAUCUUUCCAAAACAUUUCCGUUCCAAUUUAUCUCCAAUACACAUGUUUGGUCACGGCAGUACGGAGGGGCUUCGUUCUGCUUACACAUCACCAUCACACAGUCCACUUCAUCUGGGCGAAGUAAAACCCGCAAGUGCUCCCACAUCUCCAAUUGUACCCAUCACCUCUAAAGGACAAGGACGCCAGAUGACACUAUCGUGUGAUGGCUCUCCAGCCACUGGGGACCACACAUGGAGGGCGCCACGUGAAGUUACUCUUGAGCGAGAACCUGGCAAGAGUUUAGGCAUCAGCAUUGUGGGUGGAAGAAUCAAUGUGCCUCAUGCUUCACCUGAACAAAUAAUGUCAGGUAUUUUCAUAAAGCUUGUAAUGAAAGAUAGCCCUGCUGGCAGGGAGGGCUCGCUUCAAACUGGUGAUAGAAUAUUAGAGGUGAAUGGAAAAGAUCUACGUGAUGCUUCUCAUGAUGAAGCUGUUGAAAUUAUCAGGAAUGCAACGAGUCCAGUUCAUUUCUUAGUCCAAAGUUUAACAGAUACAUCAUGUAUAAAAUACAUGCGUGUCAAUUUGAAUAAAAAGCCUUUAGAUGUGGAAGACCGCCGUGGAGUGUCACCCACUCCUAAGAACACAGACUCCUCUUCACAAAUGACUGCCAAGUCACUCACUGAGCAUCGACACACUUCGGUUAUAGACGGGCACUUACGUCAAGUCUCACAUUUAAAUCUGCAGGAUUCUAAACUUGAAGAUGGAGUUUUUGAUGAAGAGGAAGAACAAGAGGAUGAAUACGGUUAUACGUUAAAAAAGCUUCAGAACAAAUAUAUUGAUUUAACAGGAGAAAUCUUUUUGGUGGAUUUGAACCGAGGCAAUAAUGGGUUAGGCAUCAGCUUAGCUGGCAAUAAGGACCGAAGCACAAUGAGUGUCUAUGUUGCUGGUGUCCAGCCUGGAAGUGCCGCUUUCAAUGAUGGUCGCAUAAGAGUUGGAGACGAGCUCUUAGAGGUGAACGGACAAGUUCUCUAUGGCAGGAGUCACUUAAACGCUUCAGCUAUCAUUAAAGGGUUAACGCAACCUGUACUGAAAGUGGUCUUAUUAAGGUAUGAAAACUACCUUGACCAUAUGGCUGUGAAGCCUUUGAAACUUUUACCCACCACAACAGUUGAAGAUCAGAAUGAAGAUCAUCAUUCAAGCCAGGAAUCUCGACCGCCAUCAUCUAUUGAAAUCAGGGUACCAAAUGUACCGAGUGAAUAUGCCUCCCCUGUAUUACAAGAUGCAAUCCAAGUCAUUGUGUUGAACAAGGGAUUGGCUGGUUUGGGAUUUACAAUUAUGGAAGGCAAAACAAAACCAGGUAUAUUUGUGAAGUCCAUAGCACCAAGUGGUCCUGCCUCUCAGGAUGGCCAGUUGAGUGUAGGAGAUCAGAUCUUGGAGAUAGACAGACAUUCAGUGGAGAAUGUUGAUUACCACAAGGCAAUGGAGAUUUUGAGAAAAACACAAGGAAAAGUAAAAUUAAAAUUCAUCCGUAAAGCAACAUUUGGAGGUCACAGAAACGAUGUUAUAUCAAUUGGUGGUGCAUGUGGUGAUUCCAGCACUGAUCCACGGGCUUCUUCCCCUAAAACAACAGGGCCACCAUCCGAUCCCUUAACGUGUCCCGUUGUUCCUGGAGAAGAAACUUAUAUUGAAAUUGACAAAGGCUAUUGUGGUCUUGGUCUAAGUAUUGUUGGUGGUUCCGAUACUCUGUUGGGCUCAAUUAUCAUUCAUGAAGUAUAUGUAGAUGGUGCAGCACAUAAAGAUGGAAGGUUAAUGGCUGGGGAUCAAAUACUCGAAGUUAAUGACGAAGACCUUAAAGACGCAACUCAUGAGAGAGCAAUUCAAGUUCUCCGCCAGACUCCGACACUUGUGAAGCUAUUAAUCUAUCGAGAUAACCAACUGACAAAAGAAGAAGAUAUUUAUGACAUCUUCAGUAUCGAAUUAGUGAAAAAACCUGGUAAAGGACUUGGCCUCAGUAUUGUUGGCAAAAGAAAUGAUGUGGGUGUAUAUAUAUCAGACAUUGUCCGUGGUGGUGUGGCUGAAGCAGAUGGCCGUUUGAUGCAAGGUGAUCAAAUUUUAAGUGUAAACGGAGAAGAUAUGCGCCAAGCAACGCAGGACCAUGCAGCUGCUGUGCUGAAAACACUUAUGGGGAAAGUUGUUUUAACAAUCGGACGCUUAAAAGCAGGUUCUCGGACAUCUUCAACGCGCAAUUCAGGUACUGGGGGAAUGCGCAAAUCUGAGUCUCACACAAGCGGUGGCAAGUCAAAAGGCAAACACAGCAGAGGUGGUCUCCCCUCUUCUAAAAGCUACUAAUAAUGGGUUAUAUCUUGCUGCUCUAACAAAUUCAACUUGUUAUUUCCCAAUGAUAUAUAUAUAUAUAUAUAUAUUCCACCCCAAAUCCUUUCUCUCAUCUACAAUUUUCUAUCUGAGAUAAGACAUUACUAAUGUCAUUUAUAUGUAAAUAAUAAUAGUAACGAUAAUGACGUAAAACAAAAAAAUUGUUUCCAAUUAAAAAAAAAUUUCAAAAAAUCAAAAAUCCCAAAACAAAAAAGAAUAAGCGAGUCCAGAAUCAUUCUUCUUCCCAUCUGCCACCACCCACCCACCCACAUGAAAUUCUAGAGUUUCCUGCAGUUCUGUAUAAUAAUAAUAAUAAUAAUAAUAGUAAUAGCUACAAUUAAAAACAAAAUUAAAAUAAGCUUGCAAUGAAAGUUUCGACUCAUCUCACUUAGUACAUUUUUUUUGGUUCUUUUCAUUAUUGAAACUACAAAAGAAAUUGUCCCAACUUACAAAUCAUAAAUAUUAAAUAAUUAUCACAAGCCACUGUCCUCCAUGUUACCUUUACCCAACCCAUCCACCCAUCCACCCCUGCCUUUCCUAAAGUGCACCCCUUAAAACAUGUACAAUCCUGGUAUCAUACAAAUCAUAGAGCAGCCAGAUUCCUUUACAAAAGUAAAUAAGUAAAGCAAAAAUAAGCUUUUCUAGUGAGCUGGAAUAGUUGCUAAGAAAUGAUAUUACACCAUAUUACCAACAUUCAGUGGCUUUACAAAAGGAAAUGAUUGGCUGUUUUUUCUAUAUAAAUGAUUUCCUGUCAUUUUUUAUGGUCUGUGGGGGACAACAAGAACAACUAUAAAAAUGAAAAAAAAAAAAAUCAAAAAAUUCAGAUUGGAAAAAAAUAUAUACAUUAAAUGAAAGAAAAAAAUAUAUAUAUAUAUGAAGAAGAAGAAUUAAA
Molecule: unclassified non-coding RNA, 7850 nt
Filed under: Octopus sinensis (East Asian common octopus)
Lineage: Eukaryota; Metazoa; Mollusca; Cephalopoda; Octopoda; Octopodidae
Description: multiple PDZ domain protein, transcript variant X14
Source: RNAcentral